RNAcentral lists this ribosomal RNA (39 nucleotides) under Rhizopogon roseolus. RNAcentral describes it as "partial 28S ribosomal RNA". Lineage: Eukaryota; Fungi; Basidiomycota; Agaricomycetes; Boletales; Rhizopogonaceae. The record is from RNAcentral.
CAGGUAGGACUACCCCGCUGAACUUAAGCAUAUCAAUAA